This 465-nucleotide ribosomal RNA is filed under the name uncultured bacterium. RNAcentral describes it as "partial 16S ribosomal RNA". It matches the Rfam family "Bacterial small subunit ribosomal RNA", at positions 28 to 507 of the family's 1533-position model. The record is from RNAcentral.
GACGAACGCUGGCGGCGUGCUUAACACAUGCAAGUCGAACGGAAAGGCCCUGCUUGCAGGGUACUCGAGUGGCGAACGGGUGAGUAACACGUGGGUGAUCUGCCCUGCACUUCGGGAUAAGCCUGGGAAACUGGGUCUAAUACCGGAUAGGAGCCAUUUUUAGUGUGAUGGUUGGAAAGUUUUUUCGGUGUAGGAUGAGCUCGCGGCCUAUCAGCUUGUUGGUGGGGUAAUGGCCUACCAAGGCGGCGACGGGUAGCCGGCCUGAGAGGGUGGACGGCCACAUUGGGACUGAGAUACGGCCCAGACUCCUACGGGGGGCAGCAGUGGGGAAUAUUGCACAAUGGGCGCAAGCCUGAUGCAGCGACGCCGCGUGGGGGAUGACGGCCUUCGGGUUGUAAACUCCUUUCGCUAGGGACGAAGCUUUUUGUGACGGUACCCAGAUAAGAAGCACCGGCUAACUACGUG